This is a long non-coding RNA of Mytilus californianus (California mussel), 10070 nucleotides long. RefSeq lists it as uncharacterized. Lineage: Eukaryota; Metazoa; Mollusca; Bivalvia; Mytilida; Mytilidae. The record is from RefSeq and is a predicted model, not a curated record. The transcript has 17 exons.
UUAUUGUAAUAUUUUUUAUGACCCCCGCUUUAAAGUCUUCUAAAGUAAUCGUGUUUAAAAUAAACAAAAAUUGGAAUGGCAAUUUAAAUAGUAUAGUUCCUAUGUGUAGGGACAGUGCCACUCUGCACGUUAAAGAACCCUUGCCACAAGUCUUUGAGGGGUCAGUAGGUGGCCUGUUGCAAGGCUUAAUUUCUGUCCAACAUAUCCUCCUCUCAGUUGGCAGUCAAAAUUUCCCUUACCUUCAUCAUCGGCCCACUUUAUAGAACCUACAAAUUGAUUUGUUAUGAAAUGAAGAGAUGCGAGACAUUACUAUUCUACAGAGACCAAAUGAUGUUGCAUGUUACUGUAUGGACUUCAACAAUGAGAAAAUUAAACAACAUUAAAAUUUUGCAAUAUUCUGAAUUAGAAUGACUUUGUUAAUACCUGUAACCUUAAACAUCUGAUAUUUUUAUUAUCUAGAGCUCUGUAAAAAAAUAUAAAAAAAAAAUAUAAAAAAUGAAAAUACCAAAAAAUGAUAUGAAAACAAAACUGUUUGUAAACAGAGUUCUAGAUAAUAAACAUUGAGGGUGGUGUAAAAGGUGGGAUUAUUGUAAUAUUUUUUAUGACCCCCGCCUUAAAGUCUUCUAACCCCCAAGGGUGACUGGGGAAUAGAAGUAUGGUCACCAUUGGUCUUCCUCCGACCGGCAGUAAAACCCUUGCUAAAGUGGGGCGUCCGUUUGGCUGUGCGGGAUAUUCAAAUUUACAGCCACGUCCGGUAAGAAUGAAGACUUUAAAUCCUAUGCCUCAUGUAAAGAGAGUGCCUCGCUCUUUGCACGUUAAGAACCCUUGCAACAACUCUUUGAGGGGUCCGUAGGUGACCUGUUGCAAAUCUAAAUUUCUGUUCCUAUCCAAUAUAACUUCAUUUCCCGUGGCAGUCUAAAUUUCUCUGACCUUAAUCCAGGAAGCCCCUAUUACAGAACCUACCUAUUGUACUUAUUGUUAACUUGUUCUUGUCCUGAAUAUGUAUGAAAUAUUUGCCACUGGAUGUUAAGCAACCAACAAUCAACAACAAUCAAUUAAAGUCUUCUAAAGUUAUCAUGUUUAAAACAAACAAAAAUUGGAAUGGCAAUUUAGAAAGUAUAGUUUCUAUGUGUAGGGACAGUGCCACUCUGCAUGUUAAAGAACCCUUGCCACAAGUCUUUGAGGGGUCAGUAGGUGGCCUGUUGCAAGGCUUAAUUUCUGUCCAACAUAUCCUCCUCUCAGUUGGCAGUCAAAAUUUCCCUUACCUUCAUCAUCGGCCCACUUUAUAGAACCUACAAAUUGAUUUGUUAUGAAAAGAAGAGAUGUGAGACAUUACUGUCCUACAGAGACCAAAUGAUGUUGAUGUAAAAUAGGUUACUGUAUGGACUUCAACAAAUUGAGAAAAUCAACUAACAUUAAAAUUUUGCAAUAUUCUGAAUUAGAAUGACUUUGUUAAUACCUGUAACCUUAAACAUCUGAUAUUUUUAUAAUCAAGAGCUCUGUAAAAAAAUAUAAAAAAAAAAUAUAAAAAAUGAAAAUACCAAAAAAUGAUAUGAAAACAAAACUCUGUAAAAAAAUAUAAAAAAAAAAUAUAAAAAAUGAAAAUACCAAAAAAUGAUAUGAAAACAAAACUGUUUGUAAAGAGAGUUCUAGAUAAUAAACAUUGAGGGUGGUGUAAAAGGUGGGAUUAUUGUAAUAUUUUUUAUGACCCCCGCCUUAAAGUCUUCUAACCCCCAAGGGUGACUGGGGAAUAGAAGUAUGGUCACCAUUGGUCUUCCUCCGACCGGCAGUAAAACCCUUGCUAAAGUGGGGCGUCCGUUUGGCUGUGCGGGAUAUUCAAAUUUACAGCCACGUCCGGUAAGAAUGAGGACUUUAAAUCCUAUGCCUCAUGUAAAGAGAGUGCCUCGCUCUUUGCACGUUAAGAACCCUUGCAACAACUCUUUGAGGGGUCCGUAGGUGGCCUGUUGCAAGGCUUAAUUUCUGUCCAACAUAUCCUCCUCUCAGUUGGCAGUCAAAAUUUCCCUUACCUUCAUCAUCGGCCCACUUUAUAGAACCUACAAAUUGAUUUGUUAUGAAAAGAAGAGAUGUGAGACAUUACUGUCCUACAGAGACCAAAUGAUGUUGAUGUAAAAUAGGUUACUGUAUGGACUUCAACAAAUUGAGAAAAUCAACUAACAUUAAAAUUUUGCAAUAUUCUGAAUUAGAAUGACUUUGUUAAUACCUGUAACCUUAAACAUCUGAUAUUUUUAUAAUCAAGAGCUCUGUAAAAAAAUAUAAAAAAAAAAUAUAAAAAAUGAAAAUACCAAAAAAUGAUAUGAAAACAAAACUCUGUAAAAAAAUAUAAAAAAAAAAUAUAAAAAAUGAAAAUACCAAAAAAUGAUAUGAAAACAAAACUCUGUAAAAAAAUAUAAAAAAAAAAUAUAAAAAAUGAAAAUACCAAAAAAUGAUAUGAAAACAAAACUGUUUGUAAAGAGAGUUCUAGAUAAUAAACAUUGAGGGUGGUGUAAAAGGUGGGAUUAUUGUAAUAUUUUUUAUGACCCCCGCCUUAAAGUCUUCUAACCCCCAAGGGUGACUGGGGAAUAGAAGUAUGGUCACCAUUGGUCUUCCUCCGACCGGCAGUAAAACCCUUGCUAAAGUGGGGCGUCCGUUUGGCUGUGCGGGAUAUUCAAAUUUACAGCCACGUCCGGUAAGAAUGAGGACUUUAAAUCCUAUGCCUCAUGUAAAGAGAGUGCCUCGCUCUUUGCACGUUAAGAACCCUUGCAACAACUCUUUGAGGGGUCCGUAGGUGACCUGUUGCAAAUCUAAAUUUCUGUUCCUAUCCAAUAUAACUUCAUUUCCCGUGGCAGUCUAAAUUUCUCUGACCUUAAUCCAGGAAGCCCCUAUUACAGAACCUACCUAUUGUACUUAUUGUUAACUUGUUCUUGUCCUGAAUAUGUAUGAAAUAUUUGCCACUGGAUGUUAAGCAACCAACUAUCAACAACAAUCAAUUAAAGUCUUCUAAAGUUAUCAUGUUUAAAACAAACAAAAAUUGGAAUGGCAAUUUAGAAAGAAUAGUUUCUAUGUGUAGGGACAGUGCCACUCUGCAUGUUAAAGAACCCUUGCCACAAGUCUUUGAGGGGUCAGUAGGUGGCCUGUUGCAAGGCUUAAUUUCUGUCCAACAUAUCCUUCUCUCAGUUGGCAGUCAAAAUUUCCCUUACCUUCAUCAUCGGCCCACUUUAUAGAACCUACAAAUUGAUUUGUUAUGAAAAGAAGAGAUGUGAGACAUUACUGUCCUACAGAGACCAAAUGAUGUUGAUGUAAAAUAGGUUACUGUAUGGACUUCAACAAUGAGAAAAUCAACCAACAUUAAAAUUUUGCAAUAUUCUGAAUUAGAAUGACUUUGUUAAUACCUGUAACCUUAAACAUCUGAUAUUUUUAUUAUCAAGAGCUCUGUAAAAAAAUAUAAAAAAUGAAAAUACCAAAAAAUGAUAUGAAAACAAAACUCUGUAAAAAAAUAUAAAAAAAAAAUAUAAAAAAUGAAAAUACCAAAAAAUGAUAUGAAAACAAAACUGUUUGUAAAGAGAGUUCUAGAUAAUAAACAUUGAGGGUGGUGUAAAAGGUGGGAUUAUUGUAAUAUUUUUUAUGACCCCCGCCUUAAAGUCUUCUAACCCCCAAGGGUGACUGGGGAAUAGAAGUAUGGUCACCAUUGGUCUUCCUCCGACCGGCAGUAAAACCCUUGCUAAAGUGGGGCGUCCGUUUGGCUGUGAGGGAUAUUCAAAUUUACAGCCACGUCCGGUAAGAAUGAGGACUUUAAAUCCUAUGCCUCAUGUAAAGAGAGUGCCUCGCUCUUUGCACGUUAAGAACCCUUGCAACAACUCUUUGAGGGGUCCGUAGGUGACCUGUUGCAAAUCUAAAUUUCUGUUCCUAUCCAAUAUAACUUCAUUUCCCGUGGCAGUCUAAAUUUCUCUGACCUUAAUCCAGGAAGCCCCUAUUACAGAACCUACCUAUUGUACUUAUUGUUAACUUGUUCUUGUCCUGAAUAUGUAUGAAAUAUUUGCCACUGGAUGUUAAGCAACCAACAAUCAACAACAAUCAAUUAAAGUCUUCUAAAGUUAUCAUGUUUAAAACAAACAAAAAUUGGAAUGGCAAUUUAGAAAGUAUAGUUUCUAUGUGUAGGGACAGUGCCACUCUGCAUGUUAAAGAACCCUUGCCACAAGUCUUUGAGGGGGUCAGUAGGUGGCCUGUUGCAAGGCUUAAUUUCUGGCCAACAUAUCGUCUUCUCAGUUGGCAGUCAAAAUUUCCCUUACCUUCGUCAUCGGCCCACUUUAUAGAACCUACAAAUUGAUUUGUUAUGAAAUGAAGAGAUGCCAGACAACUAUCCUACAGAGACCAAAUGAUGUUGAUGUAAAAUAGGUUACUGUAUGGACUUCAACAAAUUGAGAAAAUCAACUAACAUUAAAAUUUUGCAAUAUUCUGAAUUAGAACGACUUUGUUAAUACCUGUAACCUUAAACAUCUGAUAUUUUUAUUAUCUAGAGCUCUGUAAAAAAAUAUAAAAAAAAAAUAUAAAAAAUGAAAAUACCAAAAAAUGAUAUGAAAACAAAACUGUUUGUAAAGAGAGUUCUAGAUAAUAAACAUUGAGGGUGGUGUAAAAGGUGGGAUUAUUGUAAUAUUUUUUAUGACCCCGCCUUAAAGUCUUCUAAAAUUAUCAUUUUUAAAACAAAAAAAAAAUUGGAAUGGCAAUUUAAAAAGUAUAUAGUUCCUAUGUGUAGGGACAGUGCCACUCUGCAUGUUAAAGAACCCUUGCCACAAGUCUUUGAGGGGGUCAGUAGGUGGCCUGUUGCAAGGCUUAAUUUCUGCCCAACAUAUCGUUCUCUCAGUUGGGAGUCAAAAUUUCCCUUACCUUCAUCAUCGGCCCACUUUAUAGAACCUACAAAUUGAUUUGUUAUGAAAAGAAGAGAUGUGAGACAUUACUGUCCUACAGAGACCAAAUGAUGUUGAUGUAAAAUAGGUUACUGUAUGGACUUCAACAAAUUGAGAAAAUCAACUAACAUUAAAAUUUUGCAAUAUUCUGAAUUAGAAUGACUUUGUUAAUACCUGUAACCUUAAACAUCUGAUAUUUUUAUUAUCUAGAGCUCUGUAAAAAAAUAUAAAAAAAAAAUAUAAAAAAUGAAAAUACCAAAAAAUGAUAUGAAAACAAAACUCUGUAAAAAAAUAUAAAAAAAAAAUAUAAAAAAUGAAAAUACCAAAAAAUGAUAUGAAAACAAAACUGUUUGUAAAGAGAGUUCUAGAUAAUAAACAUUGAGGGUGGUGUAAAAGGUGGGAUUAUUGUAAUAUUUUUUAUGACCUCCGCCUUAAAGUCUUCUAAAGUUAUCAUUUUUAAAACAAACAAAAAAUUGGAAUGGCAAUUUAAAAAGUAUAUAGUUCCUAUGUGUAGGGACAGUGCCACUCUGCAUGUUAAAGAACCCUUGCCACAAGUCUUUGAGGGGUCAGUAGGUGGCCUGUUGCAAGGCUUAAUUUCUGGCCAACAUAUCUUCUCAGUUGGCAGUCAAAAUUUCCCUUACCUUCGUCAUCGGCCCACUUUAUAGAACCUACAAAUUGAUUUGUUAUGAAAUGAAGAGAUGCGAGACAACUAUCCUACAGAGACCAAAUGAUGUUGAUGUAAAAUAGGUUACUGUAUGGACUUCAACAAUGAGAAAAUCAACUAACAUUAAAAUUUUGCAAUAUUCUGAAUUAGAAUGACUUUGUUAAUACCUGUAACCUUAAACAUCUGAUAUUUUUAUUAUCUAGAGCUCUGUAAAAAAAUAUAAAAAAAAAAUAUAAAAAAUGAAAAUACCAAAAAAUGAUAUGAAAACAAAACUGUUUGUUAACAGAGUUCUAGAUAAUAAACAUUGAGGGUGGUGUAAAAGGUGGGAUUAUUGUAAUAUUUUUUAUGACCCCCGCCUUAAAGUCUUCUAAAGUUAUCAUUUUUAAAACAAACAAAAAAUUGGAAUGGCAAUUUAAAAAGUAUAUAGUUCCUAUGUGUAGGGACAGUGCCACUCUGCAUGUUAAAGAACCCUUGCCACAAGUCUUUGAGGGGUCAGUAGGUGGCCUGUUGCAAGGCUUAAUUUCUGGCCAACAUAUCCUCCUCUCAGUUGGCAGUCAAAAUUUCCCUUACCUUCGUCAUCGGCCCACUUUAUAGAACCUACAAAUUGAUUUGUUAUGAAAUGAAGAGAUGCCAGACAACUAUCCUACAGAGACCAAAUGAUGUUGAUGUAAAAUAGGUUACUGUAUGGACUUCAACAAUGAGAAAAUCAACUAACAUUAAAAUUUUGCAAUAUUCUGAAUUAGAAUGACUUUGUUAAUACCUGUAACCUUAAACAUCUGAUAUUUUUAUUAUCUAGAGCUCUGUAAAAAAAUAUAAAAAAAAAAUAUAAAAAAUGAAAAUACCAAAAAAUGAUAUGAAAACAAAACUGUUUGUUAACAGAGUUCUAGAUAAUAAACAUUGAGGGUGGUGUAAAAGGUGGGAUUAUUGUAAUAUUUUUUAUGACCCCCGCCUUAAAGUCUUCUAAAGUUAUCAUUUUUAAAACAAACAAAAAAUUGGAAUGGCAAUUUAAAAAGUAUAUAGUUCCUAUGUGUAGGGACAGUGCCACUCUGCAUGUUAAAGAACCCUUGCCACAAGUCUUUGAGGGGUCAGUAGGUGGCCUGUUGCAAGGCUUAAUUUCUGGCCAACAUAUCCUCCUCUCAGUUGGCAGUCAAAAUUUCCCUUACCUUCGUCAUCGGCCCACUUUAUAGAACCUACAAAUUGAUUUGUUAUGAAAUGAAGAGAUGCCAGACAACUAUCCUACAGAGACCAAAUGAUGUUGAUGUAAAAUAGGUUACUGUAUGGACUUCAACAAAUUGAGAAAAUCAACUAACAUUAAAAUUUUGCAAUAUUCUGAAUUAAAAUGACUUUGUUAAUACCUGUUACCUUAAACAUCUGAUAUUUUUAUUAUCUAGAGCUCUGUAAAAAAAUAUAAAAAAAAAAUAUAAAAAAUGAAAAUACCAAAAAAUGAUAUGAAAACAAAACUGUUUGUAAAGAGAGUUCUAGAUAAUAAACAUUGAGGGUGGUGUAAAAGGUGGGAUUAUUGUAAUAUUUUUUAUGACCCUGCCUUAAAGUCUUCUAAAAUUAUCAUUUUUAAAACAAACAAAAAAUUGGAAUGGCAAUUUAAAAAGUAUAUAGUUCCUAUGUGUAGGGACAGUGCCACUCUGCAUGUUAAAGAACCCUUGCCACAAGUCUUUGAGGGGUCAGUAGGUGGCCUGUUGCAAGGCUUAAUUUCUGGCCAACAUAUCCUCCUCUCAGUUGGCAGUCAAAAUUUCCCUUACCUUCAUCAUCGGCCCACUUUAUAGAACCUACAAAUUGAUUUGUUAUGAAAAGAAGAGAUGUGAGACAUUACUAUCCUACAUACAGAGACCAAAUGAUGUUGAUGUAAAAUAGGUUACUGUAUGGACUUCAACAAAUUGAGAAAAUCAACUAACAUUUAAAUUUUGCAAUAUUCUGAUUUAGAAUGUCUUUGCCUCUAACCUUUAAAAUCUGAUAUUUUUAUUAUUUAGAGCUCUGUAAAAAAAAGAAAAUACCAAAAAAUAAUAUGAAAACAAAAUUGUUUGUAAACAGAGUUCUAGAUAAUAAACAUUGAGGAUGUUGUAAAAAGCAGGCAUAUUUAAAAUUUUGUUUAUUAUUAUGAAUAGUGCACUGUAUAAUUUGUAAAAAUGUUUAUUGUGAAGUCUUCGAAAAUUGUGAAACUUUAGAACUGUGUUUAUUUGAGAUGUCUAUAUUCAGUCUUCAAUGAUUGUCAUGGCAAUUGAGGACAAUAGAAUAUAGCUCUGUGUAGAAACUGACUUUUUUAUAUCGAGAAAGAUCCAACAAAAGUUUUCAAUGAUAUCUAAAGAGACGAAAGACAGAAAUACUAAAAGGUUUCCUAUGAGAUUGGUGGAUUAUGUACAGUCGGACAACUGGCACACUCAUGCUAAAAGUUAAAUAGCUAUUAAAAUAAAAUUAUGUACUUGUAUAAUAACAUUAAUGAAGACAGAUGUUCUAUAGUGAAAACAUGUUCCUACAUAAUGUUGUAUAGUGAAGACAUGUUCAUACAUAAUGUUGUAUAGUGAAGAAGUAUUCCUACAUAAUGUUCUAUAGUGAAGACAUGUUCCUACAUAAUGUUCUAUAGUGAAGACACGUUCCUACAUAUUGUUCUAUAGUGAAGACAUGUUCCUACAUAAUGUUCUAUAGUGAAGACAUGUUCCUACAUAAUGUUCUAUAGUGAAGACAUAUGUUCUAUAGCACAAACAGAUGUUCCUAAGUUGCAAUGAAGUGUUCAGAAGACAGACAGCGUUUCCUUUUGCAAUGAAAUUAUCCAGAACACAUAGUUGAUUAGAUUUCCAGUUCAUUACAUAUUCUGACGUUUUCUCAAGAAAAACACAAGAUUUCAAUGUUCAACCUGAAAGGAGAAAUUCUUAAAAUUUAUGCUGGACAUCUCAUAUCAAGGAUCCAUCACAAUAUUGAUAUUAGACUUAUGAAGAAUAUUCUGAUAAAUUAAUGAUGUACGACAAAUCGUGCUACAAGUAUCAUACCAGCAAAAUUAUUUGAUGGGAGUAAAACAUAGGAGCAGGAUCUCACCUCAUACAAGUGAGGAGGAACAGUUGAACUGAUGAACUUUGAACUGAUGAACUUGGAACCAUCUACUGAUGAACUUGGAAACAUCUGAAAGGAAUACACAAGAAAAACAGACCACAUAGAAUAAGGAAAGAGAAAGAUUGACUCAACUGAUGAACUUAUAACAAGCUUAACAGAUUAUCAGCAUAGUUGAACAAUGAACACUUCAGAGACAAAAUAUUCUUGGCAAUGAAAAUAUAUGACUGAAAUUUCAUAAUUGUAUAUGGUCAGUGGGAGAGAGAGAAAGAUGUAGAAUGGUCAGAGUGGGAGAGGGAGAACACUUAUGAUUAUGAGUGGGGAGAAAAAUAGAACAAUUAUUACAACCGGUAAAUUUGUCUUCAACCAAACUCAUGGCUUGUGUUGAACCUUAGACAUCUGAUAUUUUUAUUAUCUAGAGCUCUGUUUAAAAAAAAUGUAAAAAAUAAUAUGAAAACAAAAUUUAAACAGUUCUAGAUAAUAAACAUUAAGGGUGGUGUAAAAAGUGGGCAUAUUUUAAAUUUUUCUUUUUUUCACCAAUGUAUUUAUGAAAUUUAAAACUUUAAAGUCAGAAUGUUUAAUUGGACGUACAAUUGUUUUGAUUUUAGAUAUUUGGUGACAAAACCUAUUCUUCUUCAUUUAUUACACUCUAAAAGUGUCAUUAAUUUGCAAUAUUCUUAAUUUAAUUGUCUUUGCUUAUACCUCUAACCUCAGACAUCCAAUAUUUUUAUUAUCUAGAGCUCUGUAAAAAAAAAAAAAAUUGUAAAUAGAGUUCUAGAUAAUAAACAUUAAGGGUGGUGUAAAAAGUGGUUAUAUAUUUUAUAUUUUGAAUUCUCCCCCUCCCCAAUAUAUUUACAAAAUUAAAUACAAGAGAUAUUUAUUAGUAAAUGAUUUGUGUUGGAUAAGUUUUUUCCUUUCAUUAGUUUAUUUUAAAAAAUGUUUUUUUCAAGCUGUACAUUUUUCUUGGGUAUUGAAAAUGGCUUUGAAGCUAAUAUGUUUAAUUGAAUUUUUUUAUUAUUAGAUAUUGGACACAAAACCUAUCUUCUCUGUAUAUUUCACCUUAACAGUGUCUUAGAUUUGCAAUGUCUUUGCUUAUACCUCUAACCUUAGACAUCCAAUAUUUUUAUUAUCUAGAGCUCUAAAAAAAAAAAAAAAAAAAAUAAUAUGAAAACAAAAUUGCAGAGUUCUAGAUAAUAAACAUAAGGGUGGUGUAAAAAGUGGGUAUAUUUUGAAAUCUUAAAUGGCCUUAAAGUUUGAAUGUUUAAAUGGAAGUAGAAUUCUUUCAAUUUUAGAUGUUUUGAGAUAAAACCUAUCAUCUCGGUAUAUAUUUAUACUGUGUAUAACAGUGUCUUAAAUUCUGCAAUAUUGUGAUUUUGAAUGUCUUUGUUAACUCUUUAAACUUUUAACAUUUGAAUUCCAUUCAGUAUUAAAAUAAUAUGUGAUGCAAA